RNAcentral lists this transfer RNA (72 nucleotides) under Ictidomys tridecemlineatus (thirteen-lined ground squirrel). RNAcentral's name for it is "Spermophilus tridecemlineatus (thirteen-lined ground squirrel) tRNA". It matches the Rfam family "tRNA". Rfam says of the family: Transfer RNA (tRNA) molecules are approximately 80 nucleotides in length. Their secondary structure includes four short double-helical elements and three loops (D, anti-codon, and T loops). The record is from Rfam by way of RNAcentral. Lineage: Eukaryota; Metazoa; Chordata; Mammalia; Rodentia; Sciuridae.
GGGAAUAUAGCUCAGUAGUAGAGCACUUACCUAACAUGUGCCAAGUCCUGGGUUCAAUUCCCAGUACUGCAA